UUGGCGCCUUAAGUCUUGUCGAAACUGUAAAUGGACGAACCUGCUUUCAUAGUCGUCAGUCCAGUCUUCGCGUUCAGACCUAACUUGACCUUUUCCUUCUUCAAGACUUGAGUAUUCGUCCGAGUGUUUUUCGACGGUGCUUGCAUAUCUAACAAGAAUGCAAAUCCCGUACUUCAACAUGUUCUGGUUUAACGUUGCUCUCUGGACAAUCCUUCUCCUGUUUUAUAUAGCUUAUUCUACAGCUUGGGUCGUCGAUCAAUGCAUCAUCUGCUGUAGAAGGAAGAAAAAGCAUCAGAAGUGUUCCCAUUCUAUAGAAAUGACAAGUGUCCAGGAUACUCUCUCGGACGACCGUCCUCAGACCUAAGCAGAGGUUUGUCCACGCCACUCGACAGGCUGCUCUACCAUCAAUGCAGGAUGUCAAGCCCUUCCUCAAGACGGG
Long non-coding RNA from Macrobrachium nipponense, 439 nucleotides. RefSeq lists it as uncharacterized. Lineage: Eukaryota; Metazoa; Arthropoda; Malacostraca; Decapoda; Palaemonidae. The record is from RefSeq and is a predicted model, not a curated record. The transcript has 4 exons.